Molecule: transfer RNA, 65 nt
Filed under: Dipodomys ordii (Ord's kangaroo rat)
Lineage: Eukaryota; Metazoa; Chordata; Mammalia; Rodentia; Heteromyidae
Rfam family: tRNA
About the family: Transfer RNA (tRNA) molecules are approximately 80 nucleotides in length. Their secondary structure includes four short double-helical elements and three loops (D, anti-codon, and T loops).
Source: Rfam by way of RNAcentral
GGUGGCUCAGUGGUAGAGUGCUUGCCUUGCAUGCAUGAGGUCCUAGGUUUGAUUCCUAAGCACCA